Molecule: long non-coding RNA, 1437 nt
Organism: Triticum aestivum (bread wheat)
Lineage: Eukaryota; Viridiplantae; Streptophyta; Magnoliopsida; Poales; Poaceae
Exons: 7
Source: RefSeq, a predicted model, not a curated record
CAAACGCCUCCCAAACCCUAGCCCCCGUUUCCCUCGAUCCCCACAGUAACCGCACCAAACCCUAUCCCCCCAUCCACAGCCACCCGCUCCUUAUCACAGCCGCCGCACCAUUCCUCCCUUCCGCCCCCUCCUCCUUCCCGAAUCCCCACCACGGCGCCGACUUGCAGGCAAAGGGCGACGAAGAGUGGCAGACGAGGACAACGAGGGAGAGAAAUAAGGGAGAUAAAAAGGAGGUCGGUGGCGAGGCCCAGCGACUAGCACCUCUCCGCCUCAAGCCCCGGCAUCACCGCCACCAGAUAAAGGGCGGUGGCGGCGGCGCUCGAGCAGAUGAGAGGGAUUGAGAGGUAGGUGUAGCAAGGCGACGGACAAGAGAGGGGCGAGGCCGAGCUCCAGCGCGAGCGCGCGGACCCAUCAGCCAUGCCAGCGAGGUCCUCGGCCCCGAGCUGCGCCUCUACAGCCGCAAAGGUGACUGAUGCGACCACGCUCGGUUUUGCUCAGUGCGCACACACACUGUGCCGUCUCCAGGUGCCAGUUGAACUUACUGUUGGGCUUUAUUGCCCUCCUCUGAUCUGGUGUUGUGGGAGAAAGAAGAAGAGCAGGCAUGUUCUCUAUUUCUACAUCCAGCGUCCACAUGUCUAGAUCGACGGGUCUAAACUCUUGAUGUAGCACAUUAUGUGUAUGAAUCAACAUGAAUCAUGGUGAAUGUCAAGCCUACUUAGUUCAUACCCAAGUAAGAUGUUGAAGUAUGGCCUUGAAAGGUAAGUUGGAUGGUUGGAGUUGCUCAAAAGAUAUAACAAAGAGAGAAGAUAAGAGGGGGAGAGAGAAGGAGAAGAGGGAGUGCUCGAUUCGAUCUGCACGAGAGAGAGAAGAUAAGAGGGAGAGAGAGAAGGAAGGAGAGGAGGGAGAACUAUGUUGCCGCCGUGUGCCGUACUUCUGGAUCGAGCGCUGCCUGACCAAGGGAUAAGAGUAGAAGGUAAAAACCCUAGCCACAAUGCUCCCACUGCGGGCUGCAUCCCUGCAUCUCCCGUUUCAUUAUUUCACCAUCGCUGCCUCUUCUCCUCUUUGUUGCUCUGCUUCUUCCCCUGAUUCCUAUUUUUCAUUUUUUUCUCUUUGUGGCGCCGCCGAGGAUGAGUGGAGCAGCUGCUGAAUCAGGCACUGGUGCGCUGCUGGCGAAGCGGUGGUAAACGGUGUCGUCGACGUCGUCGUUGGCAGAAUUUAUCCCCAUUGGCUUGCCGAUAUGCUCCUGCUGGGUUGUUCUUGUUUAUUUCUCUAUCCAACAUCAUUGCAGUUGCUGACCAUAUGAUUGGUAGCCUUGGACAGAAGAGGGCCAGCAACAAACAGAAGCAACCACAGUCCUGUCCAGAACAUAUACCGGAGGAGGUGACGGAGCUGCAAACUUCACACAGUUAAACUCCGACUACUCCAAACCAGGCAAGC